UAGCACAUCUUAGGCAUCCAUGUGUUUGCUUGGCAAAGGAAAGGGGAUGGCAGGACACACUAGACAGAGACAAACAGUGUUGAGGCGUCAUGUAGAAACGGCUGUCCUUCAUUUUUAGAGAGAUGCAGUAAGAGUGGAAAGAUAAAAGUCAUCAGACUCAUCACCAGGGAUCUGCAGAGGCAGUUGGUUAAGGAAAUCAACCUUCAUUUAUCUGUUUCCCUCAUCUUUAAAGAUAGUAGUAUCUGCUUUCCCAAUCUCAGAACUGAGUACAGGAUUAAGUGAAAAACCGCAAAAGUUUUCUACAAAAAUAAGGCAUCAUUAAGAAUGUUAUCUUAACAGUGCUUUGGAGAACACAAGGUUGUCUCUCUCAGACAUCUGGCAGAAAGUGUUCCAAUAAAUAUUUGCUAGAAACAACAUCACAAUGUACUACUGACUAGAUUUAAGUAACUUUUAGUCCAGUAAAAUGAGGCCUAUUUUGUUUCUUAACCUACACAGGUUACAAUCACCAUGUUGUUUGGUAGGGACUUAGUAAAAGCCCUGGAAAAAAAAGAGGAAAAUAGUCCUCUCAAGGUGGGGAAUAUUGAAAGGUGUUACACUUUUCUCACAUUGUUCCCUCAACUUUCUUCCCAAAGGGGAAGUAGGGCUCAGAGAGAUCAGACAAACAUGCCGCACCCCAAAUAGUGAAAAUGUCUCCGAAGCAUCCUACACCAUCUGUUAACAUUCCUGUGUUCCUGUUUAAAAGAGUGAACGAUAUGGACACACACCCUUUAGGGAGGUUAUUCACCACCCACCUGCUUUGCAAGCGUUUAAGAACUCACACAGGGCGUUACUUAAGAACAGAACGCUUAAGUUACGUGACUAAACCAACAACCAUCACAGAAACCCUUUCCAUCCACUGCUCCCCUCCAAAUCUGAACAUUUCAUCUUCCUGUUUCCCUUCCUAGGUUACAAGUGCCAAGGUAACAAUGUUUUGAACUAACGUCAUACUCCUACUUCCGACGAAGUUUUUUCAGCUGCUACACCACGUGCGUUCCCACAGUCCGGGAAGAGGGAAGCGUGUAGCCAUUGGUGGACACUGAAUGGCUGUUUGCAGCAGUGGGCACAGAGAGGGGGAGGAGGACGUGGGACUAAGAUCCAAGUUUCCCGGAGACGAUUGCAACACCUCUUUGCUGGCAUGGAGCCGACAGGAGCAUGGCGUCUUUCCCAUGCCCAUGUGGGAAGGGCGUCAGGGAGAGACACCCGACCCUUUCUGGCAAGAAGCUUUUCUAUCUUUCCCUCCCCGUUUCCUUCUAGCGCCUUCCUCUUCCCCAAAGGAAUGCUCUCCUUUCCCAGAUCCCAAGCAAGGACCCAAAGUGCCAGGCCCACGUGUCCGUCCUUCCCCUACGUCCACAUCCAUCUCUACCCAAGGUCCCCUCUCCCAGACCGCCUCUCUUUUCCUCUCCAAACGCAGGCAUUUUCCAACACGGCAAUCCGCGACAGUGCCCGUCUGGUAGACAGAAGUUAAGACCUAAACUUUCUGGCCCGGAACCAGAAGAAAGCUAAGUUUUUGGCAUUUGGUAGUUUGCAAGACUGAAAGCAGAAGCGGCUUCCAGAAGAACCCCCUCCCCCGCCCUCUUAAUUUUGUGAGAAUCCAAGCCCACUGAAGAAAUUAUGCCAGGAAAUUCAGAGCGGAAGGGGAAAAGAGUUAGUGUCUGAAAGAAGAUACACAAAAGCAGAAUUCAAGUUAAGGAGAAUCUCAAGCCUGGGGAAAAAACAAUAAGCUCAUCUAUGUAACUGGGACUGUGGCUGUUCCCUCUUGUGUUCUCUGGAAGGACUUCGAAACGUGGAGGAUAUCUUCAUAGUAGGCACAUUUGAGUAGCACCGUGUUCCUCAAGGUUCUCAAUUCUAGCAAAGAUUCCCAUGAACACUGUGGUGCAGAGCCACAGAACCACUGGACUUGGGCAUUCCUGCAAGUUGGACAGUGUUCAUCUCAUCAGUAAGUGUGGUCAGAAUCUAGAUUAAAGACUAAACAGCAUGCUCUAUUGAAGAUGGGAUGGGUGUGAAGAGGAGGGGAUGGAUUUGGGAUGGAUUCCCCCAAAUAAAAUUAAUUUUAAGUGAAA
Macaca mulatta (Rhesus monkey) is the source of this 2099-nucleotide non-coding RNA. Lineage: Eukaryota; Metazoa; Chordata; Mammalia; Primates; Cercopithecidae. The record is from RefSeq and is a predicted model, not a curated record.